Molecule: small nucleolar RNA, 89 nt
Organism: Xenopus tropicalis (tropical clawed frog)
Lineage: Eukaryota; Metazoa; Chordata; Amphibia; Anura; Pipidae
Source: Ensembl
UUCCAUAUUGCCAAUGAUGGAUCCUUUGUUGAACUGAUUACUUGUGAUUUCAUUCAACAAUUCGUCACUACCACUGAGGCAAUACUUAA